Non-coding RNA from Lontra canadensis (Northern American river otter), 534 nucleotides. The record is from the annotation of a RefSeq genome assembly. Lineage: Eukaryota; Metazoa; Chordata; Mammalia; Carnivora; Mustelidae.
CUGAGAAUGAAGGAAUUAAAGACCAAGACUUCUUCCUCUAUUUUGUGGAGAUGUUUUUGCUCUGAACCAGAUUCUGAAUGGCAGAGUUUACAGAUGCUGGAGUCAUCCAGACACCCAGGCACAAGGUGACAAAGAUGGGACAAGAAGUAACCCUGAAAUGCCAGCCUAUUUCUGGUCAUGAAGGCCUUUACUGGUAUAGUCAGACCUCAGUGCAGGGACUGAAGCUGCUGAUCUACUUCAACAAUCAAUCUCCUAUAGAUGACUCGGGGAUGCCCAAGGAACAGUUCUCAGCAGAGAUGUCUAAAAAAAUCAUUGUCCACCCUGAAGAUCAAGCCCACAGAACCCCAGGACUCAGCCACAUACCUGUGUGCCAGCAGUGUAGACACAGAGCUGCAUAGUCACCCUCUCCCUGUACAGAAACCCUCAAGCUUCCCAUUCUGCCUCAAACCCCCAGUUGUCCUGAGUAAAAGUCUUCCCUGCUCCUUCACCAAGAGAAAUGAGUGGGUUUGGGGGCCUGACAAGGACAGAAAAUGA